UAAUUGACGCAAAUAGUUGAUCUGCGAUGUCUUCAGUAACAUCCAUCACUCCCAACCUCCUGAGCUUUCUCAGUUUGCUCAAUUCUGUGGGAAAGUAACCACCACCAUGCACACCAGUGAGGGUAAGGAGGUCUGUGAAUCGAGAUAUCCCUUCUGGCAGCUUCAUCCCUUUGACAUCCAUGUUCUUGAACAUUUUGAUGUGCCUUAGUCUAAUCAGAUUUAGUAUCUCACCUGACAGUGAUGUCAAUCUCCCGCACCAUCUGAUGUCCAGCGUCUCCAAAGCAUUUAAGUUGCCUAUUGUCACCGGAAGAUCAGUGAUAUCAUUGUAUUUCAAGCCCAGAUAAGUCAAAUGAAUCAGGUCUCCCA
This 366-nucleotide long non-coding RNA is filed under the name Linum usitatissimum (flax). Its description in RNAcentral is "long non-coding RNA (LUSI_LNC003020)". The record is from RNAcentral. Lineage: Eukaryota; Viridiplantae; Streptophyta; Magnoliopsida; Malpighiales; Linaceae.